Molecule: RNA transcript, 2598 nt
Organism: Triticum aestivum (bread wheat)
Lineage: Eukaryota; Viridiplantae; Streptophyta; Magnoliopsida; Poales; Poaceae
Gene name: glycine-rich RNA-binding protein 2, mitochondrial
Exons: 8
Source: RefSeq, a predicted model, not a curated record
UUCGUGAAAUUUCUUGGGGUCAACCGAUCUGCGGGGAAGGGGGAUCUGGGGAACGAAGGAUUUGGGGAUUAUUUCUAGGGUUCGUAGCAUAGGCGAUGCUCAAUUGGGGAAGAAAGGCUGCGCUCCAUGCUAGGGUUCCGGCGGGCAAGCUGCUAGAUCGGAGCGCCCGUUUCUCGUCAGGCUCCAAGCUGUUCGUCGGGGGCCUGUCCCAUGACACCAAUGAAGUUGCUCUCAAGGAUGCGUUCUCUCAGCAUGGCGAUGUUAUCCAAGUCAAAGUGAUAUGCCAUCCCGUGACCGGGCAAUCAAAAGGAUACGGUUUCGUCAAGUUCUCCUCGGAAAAAGACGCAGCUGCGGCAUUGGAGAAGAUGAGCGAUGAGGUGCUUGAUGGGAAGAACAUACGGGUGCAUUUUGCAAACAGUGGAUGACCUGCUACUGCUGCUAUAGAUGAGCAAGACAGGAUGUGCAGAGUGAGCCCCUAGCUGUGAGGAUAUGACAACCGACGAUAUGUAUCUGGAAUGGAAAGCACAGUUCAAAAUGGAAAGGCAUUUCGUGUGGAGCUUUUGAGGGAAGCGCACAUCUGAACCUUCAUUCGAGGUUGCCUGCUCACUCUGGAAUUUAUGCUUUUCCUACUGCUAGCUGUCUCAUGUAAAUGCAUCAGAAAGAAAUGCCGUGCUGCUAGCUAGCCAUGUUCAAAUCGAGAUUGUUUCAAGGCUAACCUUGCACCACCUACAUAUAUGUGCUGAUUUAGUACAACUUUGUGCUAAAUCAGCGACAAUUAAUAUGGAUCGGAAGGAGUAUCCUUUUUCUUCAUCUUUGGCUCUCUCACAGUCGCGGAGGAUAUUGGCUGCUUGGUGAAACCGUCUUCACAAAAUGGCCAUGCGAUAAGUAGCUUUGAUUUUACCCCAAGUAGUUAUUUAGUUAAUAAACCUAGUGCAGCAUGAUUCGUCUUGUACAUGCUCCACUUCUCAUCUAGAAUGGCAUGCUGAUCUAAACACAGCCAGCCAGCUUUGAGAAAACUGUUUUGAAGAUGAUCUGUCACAUCUUUCUGAACUUUGGUGAAAUUCUUAAACUAAUUAGAAUUUAGAAGUAUCAUUUACAUGUCUUUAGCCUGAAACCAUUAUAUUUAUAUAUAACUGUCCAUGCCGCCGAGGAGUAGAUAGGGCCCCGUCGUGUAGCGAUCCUGUAUGUAUGUAUCUUUGGAGUCCAAACUGGUAGUAAUCUGUAGUUUCGAUUGAUCUUGAAUCAUUGCUGAAUUGAAGCUGAAAAACUUGAUGGAAUAGCCAAUUCGAAUCUCCAUUGUGUGUAUCUUUCGUUUGGAUGUCUUGUUAUGUUGAUCCUUUUGCUUGUUCUUGAUCUUGAUGCCCAUGCGAACAAUCUUCUCUUGCUGCAAUGUUUCAGUUUUUUUUUUAAAUGAAUGUUUCAGGCAGUUUCACUUGAUUAGCCAUUCUUGAGGGGCAAUCUUGGAAUUGCUUGAUUUAGCAGGGUGCAAAUCGUGAAAAUUUUGUGUAGCGAGUGAUCUGAUUUGGGGGAAGGGGAUCAGAGAGGUCUACCAAUUUGGGGAAUACCUCUAGGGUCGUAGCAUAGGAGAUGCUCAAUUGGGCAAGCAAGGCUGAGCUACAUGCUAGGGUUCCUCUGGGCAAGCUGCUGGAUCGGGGCGCCACUUUCUCCUCAGGCUCAAAGUUGUUCGUCGGGGGUAUGAUUUGUACAUUUCAUUCUCCUCUGGUGUUCAGUUCCUAGUCAAUUCGUUUGGUGCUUGGACCCCAAUCUCUCCUAUGUUGAGAUCUGAUGCCAAUUUGAGAAUCUGCUUAGGAAGAGGGGAUUCAUGCUUGGGACAACCCUGUUAGUUAACACUGAGCACAUCCUGCGUAUUUGCGAAAGAUAAAGGACACUGAGCUAUCCGAGAAAUGUGCUGACUUAUGAAUGGUUGAUGAUAUUCUGAUGCCCUGCUGUUUCUUCCACUGAGUUUUUCAGGUCUGUCCUACAAUUCGAAUGAAGUUGCUCUCAAGGACGCCUUCUCUCAGCAUGGCGAUGUUAUCCAAGUGAAAGUAAUAUGCCAUCCUGUCACGGGGAGAUCCAAAGGAUACGUCUUGGUCAAGUUCUCUUCAUAAACUGAAGCAGCCGCGGCGUUGGAGAAGAUGAGUGACGAGGUGCUGAUGGAAAGAAAAUACGGGUGAAUUAUGCAAACAGCGGACAAUCUGCUGCUGUUUCUGCUGCUGCUGCUGCUGCAGAUGAGUAAGAACUUUGUCUUCAUUCUGAACAAACUGCAACAACACCUUAGUGGCUGAAUAGGAAGCGAAGAUGAUCCAUCAUAGGCACGAGAUCUUUAUCCCAGGGACACAUUAUUGGGCUCCAUUUGGCAUAAACAUUAUUUUUAAAAAGGGAACAAUCUGCAGUUGCCCCCCCAAAAGUUUUUAGCUAGGUUAGAAUAGCUUUGCCUUGCUUUUUGCCCUGACUGGGUCUGUGCUUUGCCUUGUCUUGGAUGUGUGUUUGUGAAAAGAAAGAGGGAACCAUCUGUCGGUAUAUGGCAUUAAUUGAUAGCGGGGGGAAUAACUGGAAUGAAUAUGCUUACGGAAUCUGGCAUAUACGUGAUUACAUUCA